RNAcentral lists this long non-coding RNA (2359 nucleotides) under Gallus gallus (chicken). The record is from RNAcentral. Lineage: Eukaryota; Metazoa; Chordata; Aves; Galliformes; Phasianidae.
CAGGAAAGGCGCUCCUGUCCUGAGCAGUGCCGCGCUGCUGCUGGGAAAGCCGGUGCUGUGCUAGCGGCCGCUGUGUGCUCUGUCCCUUCCCCAGCCCGUAGGGGAGACGCAGACUCUCGGGUCCCGAAGCCCGUAGUUGUCGGCUCGCACGUUGCCGUGCGGUGGUCGAACGGGAGGUCCGGAUGGAGUGAGAAGAAUCCCGACGCCGUGCUGGAGUCACACGGGUCGGCUGGGUGCCGUGGUGGUCCUUUGCUACGCAAGGACCUUAUAAGGUCCUUAUAUAGGAAGCUGCUUCCCUUAUAAGCUAGUUGAAACUGUAGUUGCUAAAGCAUCGAUUUAACACCUUACCAUAAUCUCCACCCUGGCCUUUCCAAGCAGUGAGAAAGAAAAGAACGUGGUGGUCUGUUGACCGCCUUUACCUGGCCUUGAAAGCUGGCUGCCACCCUGUGCAGAAGCUCCCCAGAAUGAAGGGAAUAUGCCACAGGUGCCAGCACCAGGCCUCCUAACGAAGCCUUGGGCCCACACCUGUGGGUUUUAAGCAAGCAUUUUACACGUGCAAUGCAGUUUAUUUGCUGCAGAAGUGGAGGGAGCUGUACAACACGUGUGUUCCCUAUGCCUUUGCCCUGUGUCACAUUGCUGGGGGAUGUGACGCCAGAAAGUGCAGCCCGUGUAGGCUGCAAGUGCCGGGGCCGAAUUAGCACUGUAAGCCUGCACAGAAAUGAGCCCAGAGAGGUGGUCCUGCUCUGUCCAAACACUCGGGCAAAAUACAGUACCCAAAUCUAACCCACACACGUACACACACUCAUUCUCAAAGCAGCCACCACUUUAAAGUGACACCCCUCUCUCACAUCCGUCCCCGCACGUCUCUUUGGGCGGACGGAUGCUGCUGACUGAAUACAGGUUUCCCCACCGAGGGGCCCCUGUAGCUUGGCAUUCUCACUGCAUUUGGACUCUGUGUACUUAGUUGGAGAAAGGGUCAGGAUUUCAUACUGAGCUUUGCUUCCAGAUUAUAUGCAUUUCUUGAAAACAGCUCGGUACAUACUAAGAAGAGGCCUAGCGUGCAUCCAUCACCACUGAACUAUAAACCAUGAAAGAAGUUGGAAACGGCAGCUUUGACGAAAAACUUUUCUCUUGUGGGUAUUACUAUCAAAAAUAGGAGUGAUAUGCUCAUCUUCAGAUGUGCUUUCCAAGGAGGCAUGCAGUCCAGAGGGAUCUUCAGCCAUCUCUAGUUGGAUCAGCUCAUCCAGACCUGCUAAGAAAAAGAACACCUUGUCUGAGAAACUUUCACAAACCUAAACAACAUUCCAAAAAAUACCUGUUAUCUGCCUUCCAAAAAAAUUAUUUUAUACACACACAUUAUAAACAGAGGAGAGCACAAAAGUUAAUGACAUAUCCUGAUCUCUCACUUUACUGAGAGCAGAUCAAAUUAACAUGAUAUGUAAUGUGUAGUAUCAAUAUAGAAUUGAAAGAAAGAUUAAUAUACAGAUACAUACUAUUCAACUGCCAACUUUUUAGUGAUAUUUAUCAAGAAGGGUAGAUCAGAAGUGUUGAUCAUGAGAAGGCAUUUUUUUCUUCACAUUGUUUUUCUCAUGAAGGAUAACUAUGUCUUUCAGCCUCCCUAGAAGAUAUGUUAACAUUCAGCUCCACCAGGACCAUGUUUUUCUCCAUGGGGAUUUUUUUUUUUUUUUCAGUCAGAAAGAGACCGCUCAAAGUCUGAUAUGCAAUAGGUUUUUCCUACUUUUUUAUUGAUUUCCUUCAGGUUAAGUACUCUCUCAGGUGCAGAGUGAUAUGCUUCAGAAAGGUCUGCUUCACUGUGCAUCUUUCCAUCAAUUAUCUGGCCUUGAGCGUAGAGGAAAAUAGGUGAUCCCAAUUUGAGAUGUCAAUUCCUGCACCAAAUAAAAUAGCUGUUUAUUUGUGUUUCUAAUUGCCACUCAUCCUCUGCUCCUAAAUCCUUAAGUAAUUCAGGAACAGAUCAUGAGGACUCUGAAAUGAAAAAUGCCCAUUUCUGGCUUGGGACUGCAUGCUUGUCUUGUGAAUGUCCUAACACAAAGGUAUAUACAUGUGUAUUUGUCCACAUGUAGCAGUUCAUCACGAAAUAUAUCAAGACAAAAACAUAAAUACGGUUAAAUAUUUUUUUAAAUCUACAAACAGUCAGUGAUAACCAGUGGGAUGCCAACCUGCCAGCUGAUUUGCCCCAGUGCCCCUAAUAAUGGAUUACAGUAAACUAACUUCAAAGAGGACCAAUGAAGUUACAGAUCAGUUAUGUUUCAAAUAAUACCACAGAUAAGUGCAGUCACACUAUACAUUUGGAAGCACCUGCAAUUAAUUUAUCAGAUGAUGUUACCCAAGGCAAUGGAGA